RNAcentral lists this ribosomal RNA (484 nucleotides) under uncultured bacterium. RNAcentral's name for it is "partial 16S ribosomal RNA". It matches the Rfam family "Bacterial small subunit ribosomal RNA", at positions 30 to 507 of the family's 1533-position model. The record is from RNAcentral.
AUUGAACGCUGGCGGCAGGCCUAACACAUGCAAGUCGAGCGGAUGAAGCCAGCUUUUUCCUGGAUUCAGCGGCGGACGGGUGUGUAAUGCCUAGGAAUCAGCCUGGCAGGGGGGGAUAACGUCAGCAAACGGGCGCUAAUACCGCAUACGUCCAGAUGGUGAAAGUGGGGGAUCUUUGGACCUCAAGCUAUCAGAUGAGCCUAGGCCGGAUUAGCUAGUUGGUGGGGUAAAGGCCUACCAAGGCGACGAUCCGUAGCUGGUCUGAGAGGAUGAUCAGCCGCACUGGAGCGGGGACACGGUCCAGACUCCUACGGGAGGCCGCAGUGGGGAAUAUUGGACAAUGGGCGAAAGCCUGGUCCAGCCAUGCCGCGUGUGUGAAGAAGGUCUUCGGAUUGUAAAGCACUUUAAGUUGGGAGGAAGGGCAGUAAGUUAAUACCUUGCUGUUUUGACGUUACCAACAGAAUAAGCACCGGCUAACUUCGUG